CCUACGGGAGGCAGCAGUAGGGAAUAUUGGGCAAUGGACGCAAGUCUGACCCAGCCAUGCCGCGUGCAGGAAGAAGGCGUUAUGCGUUGUAAACUGCUUUUAUACAGGAAGAAACGACUCUUGCGAGAGGCAUUGACGGUACUGUAUGAAUAAGCACCGGCUAACUCCGUGCCAGCAGCCGCGGUAAUACGGAGGGUGCAAGCGUUGUCCGGAUUUAUUGGGUUUAAAGGGUGCGCAGGUGGUUUAUUAAGUCAGUGGUGAAAGACGGUCGCUCAACGAUUGCAGUGCCAUUGAAACUGGUAGACUUGAGUAAGGUAGAGGUGGGCGGAAUUGAUAGUGUAGCGGUGAAAUGCAUAGAUAUUAUCAAGAACUCCAAUUGCGAAGGCAGCUCACUUGGCUUUUACUGACACUCAUGCACGAAAGUGUGGGUAUCAAACAGGAUUAGAUACCCUGGUAGUCCACACUGUAAACGAUGAUAACUAGGUGUCGGCCGAAUCUGGUCGGUGCCACAGCGAAAGCGUUAAGUUAUCCACCUGGGGAGUACGCCGGCAACGGUGAAACUUAAAUGAAUUGACGGCUGGAGAGNGCGAGGACGACGACGAGGGAGGAGG
Molecule: ribosomal RNA, 611 nt
Filed under: uncultured bacterium
Lineage: Bacteria
Description: bacterial SSU rRNA
Rfam family: Bacterial small subunit ribosomal RNA
Source: RNAcentral